This 439-nucleotide unclassified non-coding RNA is filed under the name Dendronephthya gigantea. Its description in RNAcentral is "calcium/calmodulin-dependent protein kinase type II delta chain-like, transcript variant X1". The record is from RNAcentral. Lineage: Eukaryota; Metazoa; Cnidaria; Anthozoa; Malacalcyonacea; Nephtheidae.
UGAAAAUGGCAUCACUAACAGGGAUUGGAAGCCAGAAAAUGUUUUAUUGUGUUCCUCGUAUGAUGAAACGCUUAUAAAGAUCAGAAUUCCUAUAUGGAAACACUCUGUGGUACACCAAGUUACCUCGCUACCAAAAUGUUAAUCCCGUAGCCUGAAGAACGAUCCUACAAGAAAUCGUGUGACUGCUGGAGCCUGGGAGUUAUACUAUAUGUUUGGCAAAUAACCCAUUGGAGAAACAAGUCAAAGAAGGGUCGUAUAAAUUUCCGAACAACCUCUGGAAGAAUGUUAGCAGUGAAGCUAAGGAUCUUAUAACAAAACUGCUUACUGUUGGUCACAGAAAAUGCAUCACGGUUUCAGAAGCUCUGGAACAUCCUUGGAUGAAGGAUAAAGAAAUGAUAGAAAAAGCAGAAAAAAUGAUAAACCGACCGUGGAUGGAAGA